RNAcentral lists this ribosomal RNA (482 nucleotides) under uncultured bacterium. Its description in RNAcentral is "partial 16S ribosomal RNA". It matches the Rfam family "Bacterial small subunit ribosomal RNA", at positions 30 to 507 of the family's 1533-position model. The record is from RNAcentral.
AUUGAACGCUGGCGGCAUGCCUUACACAUGCAAGUCGAACGGUAACAGGUCUUCGGAUGCUGACGAGUGGCGAACGGGUGAGUAAUACAUCGGAACGUGCCCGAUCGUGGGGGAUAACGAGGCGAAAGCUUUGCUAAUACCGCAUACGAUCUACGGAUGAAAGCGGGGGAUCUUCGGACCUCGCGCGGACGGAGCGGCCGAUGGCAGAUUAGGUAGUUGGUGGGAUAAAAGCUUACCAAGCCGACGAUCUGUAGCUGGUCUGAGGGGAUGAUCAGCCACACUGGGACUGAGACACGGCCCAGACUCCUACGGGAGGCAGCAGUGGGGAAUUUUGGACAAUGGGCGAAAGCCUGAUCCAGCCAUGCCGCGUGCAGGAUGAAGGCCUUCGGGUUGUAAACUGCUUUUGUACGGAACGAAAAGCCUCUUUCUAAUAAAGAGGGGUCAUGACGGUACCGUAAGAAUAAGCACCGGCUAACUACGUG